RNAcentral lists this transfer RNA (72 nucleotides) under Perca fluviatilis (European perch). It matches the Rfam family "tRNA". Rfam says of the family: Transfer RNA (tRNA) molecules are approximately 80 nucleotides in length. Their secondary structure includes four short double-helical elements and three loops (D, anti-codon, and T loops). Lineage: Eukaryota; Metazoa; Chordata; Actinopteri; Perciformes; Percidae. The record is from Rfam by way of RNAcentral.
UCCCUGGUGGUCUAGUUGUCCAGGUUCGGUGCUCUCACUGCUGUGUCCCGGGUUCGAUUCCCGGUCAGGGAG